GUGAGGAAUAUUGCGCAAUGGACGAAAGUCUGACGCAGCCAUGCCGCGUGAAGGAUUGACGGCCCUAUGGGUUGUAAACUUCUUUUGUAUAGGAAUAAACCCUCGUUCGUGAACGAGGCUGAAGGUACUAUAAGAAUAAGCACCGGCUAACUCCGUGCCAGCAGCCGCGGUAAUACGGAGGGUGCAAGCGUUAUCCGGAUUUAUUGGGUUUAAAGGGUCCGUAGGCGGAUCGUUAAGUCAGUGGUGAAAUCCUACCGCUCAACGGUAGAACUGCCAUUGAUACUGGCGAUCUUGAGUAUGUAUGACGUUGGCGGAAUGUGUGGUGUAGCUGUGAAAUGCUUAGAUAUCACACAGAACACCGAUUGCGAAGGCAGCUGACUAAUACACAACUGACGCUGAGAGACGAAAGUGUGGGGAUCAAACAGGAUUAGAUACCCGGGUAGUCC
This 446-nucleotide ribosomal RNA is filed under the name uncultured bacterium. Its description in RNAcentral is "partial 16S ribosomal RNA". It matches the Rfam family "Bacterial small subunit ribosomal RNA", at positions 354 to 796 of the family's 1533-position model. The record is from RNAcentral.